RNAcentral lists this long non-coding RNA (3692 nucleotides) under Gallus gallus (chicken). RNAcentral describes it as "lncRNA (ENSGALG00010014809.1)". Lineage: Eukaryota; Metazoa; Chordata; Aves; Galliformes; Phasianidae. The record is from RNAcentral.
CCCCUCCCCCCCCCUCCCCCCGGCACCUCCGCCCGAACGGCCGCGGGCGGCGCGGGACAGCGGGAAGGCGCGCGAGGGGCCGGGAGUGGAGCGGGUGGGGCUGGAUGUGUGCUGCAGUGACCGGACGAGCACAAAGCUGGGGGAAAAGUGAAGGGGACAGUGUCCCGGUGACAGCUCUCUGCUCCGCUCUGAGCGGGAGAGCCCUUCCCGAGCGAUUUUCAGUGCGCGGUGCAAUUCGUCUGUCUUUUUAAGCCUAGUUACCGCUGAAGAUAUCUUUUCCUGUGCUGGGGGCAGCUCCUGCUGCAUCACUGCUGCCCGGCUCUGCUGCGGGGGGGCUCAGGAGCGAGUGCCACAGAAGGAAGACGGCAGAUAACGUAUAGCACGUGUAACGAUUCACGUUAGUUACUUUGCGAGGGAUAAAAAGAAGCUUUUCUAAUAGGGUAACAGACAUGAAAACGCAGAGCUUUGGAACAGGUGCUCACAGAAAUAGGAGAGCCUCCCCACCUGGAAGUAUUGAGGAGACAUGUGGAUGUGGCACCGAGGGACCUGGUUUAGUGACUGGAAUCGAUUGCCUUUAGUAAAAGUGCCCGAGUAGCUGUGCUUAACUUGUUUAGAUUCAACCUGAAAUGAAUCAGGAGCUGAUGGUAUAAGAUGCUAUUUAGGCAUGAGACCAAACCUCCCACCGAUUCAACUUAAACUCUGGAAUUGUUUGUUUCUGCUGUGGAGCAUCAAUGAAGUACGCAGCCAUGCAGUCAUUUCUCCGAACAUUCACAGACGAAGACUUGCUGUUCCAUAAAACUGCCAGUAUUUUAACAGGAAGAAGGAUGCCCUCUGUGCUGUAGAUAUUCAGAACUGCUCUCUGGUGAUCACUUGCUACUGUUUCAUUGUGUACGAUGUCUCAACAGCCUAGUUUCCUCCAUGGACCUACCACCUGAAAGUCUGGCUUUUUGAAGGAGCAGUGAAAGAGACUGCGAAGUAUCUUCUUACAGAUGAAUGGUUUUCCUCCUGAUUUCAGUCCAAAACCAUGACAGCAGUCCUCCCUCAAUCACUUUAAAAUUUCUCUUGAGACCAAACGUGGGAGAUAUGGGUUUGAAAAGUAGGCUGUCACCUGGAAGUGAUGGACAUAAAUGUUAUAAGUCUCACCAUCACCCCAGCAAUGUGAUUCUAUAGGAACAUUUGCAGUCAGUGGGGGACUCUAUCCACAAAGCAUCUUCUGAUGGAGGAACAAAAUCAAGAGAUGGAUGAGCACGAAGGAAAAGGAAGUCCUGUACUUCUUAACUUUCUAGUGCAGCAGUCCUGGCAAAGACUGCAAUGCACGCUCAUUUCAUUACCCUGCCCAGUGUGCUUUGAUCUCGUAUGGUUGUCCCCAGAUUAUAAAUCCUGAGGGACCAUUGAAUCAUCUGAUCUGACCUCUUGUGUGUUUGCAGGCUAUUAAAUUUCGUUCAUUACCCUUGUAUUGAUCUGAAGGUCUUUUGCCUGGCUACAGUUUGUGUUCCAGUGAUGCCUGUGGUAUUGAUCUGAAGACAUGAAAAGACUGAAUUCAUCAUUUCCACUAUUAUUGGUUUAAAUAUUAUCCCAUUCUCCCUAUUAAUUUUUUCUCCUUAUUUCUAAUUUUAUUUUGUCUCAUUUCAGUUUCGAGCCAUUAGGUUCCUGUUGGGAUUUUCGAUCCUAAACUGCAGAACAUUUCAAGCACUGCUUUCUUCUUGUGUGAAUGUUGGACCCAAAGGUAGUAACAGACUCAAAACGAGAGCCUUCGUUUCUCUCUAAAAUCCAUUUUCUGAUGCUCUCAAAUGAAUUCUGUUUGUUUUCUUUUUAACAGAUUCUCCAUUUUUCCUGCAUGUGUUUUUAAAAUACAGAUAUCUCAGCUUUCUAUUGUGUUACUGUAUCAGUUUCAUGAUGUUUUAUACAAGUGUAAAAUCAUUGCCCACUCCUAAUCUAUGCUUCUUUAGAGAACUGUAUGCAAGAAGGUUCUUCACCAGAAGAAAAUUUGCAGCUUUAUAGAGGUUUAUAAUUUUCUUUUAUUUGGGAGUUCUUAAUUUUUCACGAAGCAAAUUAUCAGAUGAAACGUAUGUAUCAAUCAGAGUAUACAUUUUCAUUUCUUCAGCUGCCAUCCUUCCACGGAGAUCUUGGUUUUGAUAAAUUCAGCACUUCGGUCAGGAUGAUGAAAAGCUGCUCUGCUCCUUGCUUCCAAUACAGAGACUGCACCAUCCCUGCUUAUACAGCACUGCAGCCAGAGCUCAUUCAUAACUGAUUGUCACCUAUGGGCUCUAGAUCUUUCACAGUCGCUGCUCUGUAGCCCCACAGCUAUUCAGAGGGACCUGCACUGCCCCUUCCUAGAUGAGUAAUGUGAGCACGUAUGGAUGUUUUCUGUUUGCAAAGCGCUCUUCUCAUCAGGCUACCCAUAUUCCUCUAUGACAUCUCUUCUCAUCUGUGAAUUUUAUCAGUUUUUGAUUCUGUCUGCAAAUUUUGCACCUGCUGGGAUGAUAGCAGACAUGGCUCUUUGUUUGCAGUGUAUCUUCAAUGCUUGCUGCUUUGGCAAGUUACCACCCAUCACUGAAACUCUUCACCGGACUCUCAUGUAGUAAGGAGAACCACUGGUCCCACAUAUUUCAUAUGUACUGUGUUUAUGUGUCCUAUCUGGUGCCAGCUCCUAAAGGUAUGGCUACCAAAACAUAAAGAAAAUCUCUUUCUGAAUAAGCAAAACUGGGGAAAAGCUCUUCUGCCUGCAGGACUGAGGAAGCUCUUAGGUAUUUAUAAGGAAUUGAUCAGAUGAAACUUGAAGUGAAAGGGCACCUUAGGCAGACUUUGGCCUCCAAGAAUAGAUAGUUGUUGCCAAAAAAGCCCGCACACUGUGACCACCACAUCCCAGCAGAAGAAUUUGCUGGGGAAGGGGCACACUAGAUUCUGCAACUGGAUGGCUCCCAUCAGCUGGGAAGAAAGUAGGCGGGAGCCAAGGCUGGGGCACUGCCCCCUCCCCAGCAGCCGUGGUUACUGUCAGUAGCUACCUUGAAGCUGAUACUUACAGACAACAGGAGAAAAUAGGGACAAAGCUGAACCCCUCAACCUAGGUGUCUGAAAGUGUUUAUCUGUAUGAUGGAGCCUGGCACAACAGUCUUUGGAGCAACUGAAAUUCUGGAAGCCAGAUGAGCAUACCGAUGAGAACUACAUCCCUUCAGAAGGCAUCACCACCCUGGCUGUACUGAGGCUGCUUGCAUGAAUACACAGAGACAACAGAGCACUUGCAGAGCCCCUCAUUCCUGGAAUAGCCAUGCAGAAACAGCUCCCCUCACACUGAGCUGGAUGCUCUGGGAGGAGAUGCGAUGCCUGAUAACAGAAGGUCAUCGGGAAACAUGCCGCUGCCCAUGAACCAGCCUAAUCCCACAGUUUUAUGUUUCUCUGAACAGCCUAGACACAGAUGCAACCUUUGCUGUGAAGGGGUCAUGAUGCCAUGCCCUGCUUUACAGAGGAGUGCUCCCUGCAGCACGAGUGCUUGCUGGUUCAGUCUGUGAUAUCCUCUUGAGAGAAAGUGAGGAUGGUGGAGCUGAGGAUCCAUCCUCCUCUUAUAUCACGUUAUUUCACACUGCUUUCUGGAGAUACACUUUCCGGCUUUUUCCUCCCAAACUACUCAGUAGAUCAUUAAUGUUGCUUUAUAUAGUAAAGAGAAAGCAGAGCUAAGACAGUAAUACGAUAUU